RNAcentral lists this ribosomal RNA (253 nucleotides) under uncultured bacterium. Its description in RNAcentral is "partial 16S ribosomal RNA". It matches the Rfam family "Bacterial small subunit ribosomal RNA", at positions 524 to 776 of the family's 1533-position model. The record is from RNAcentral.
UACGUAGGGUGCAAACGUUGCUCGGAAUUAUUGGGCGUAAAGCGCACGUAGGCGGCUUUGCAAGUUCGUUGUGAAAUCCCUCGGCUCAACCAAGGAAGUGCAUCGAAAACUGCAGAGCUUGAGUACGAAAGAGGAUCGCGGAAUUCCCGGUGUAGAGGUGAAAUUCGUAGAUAUCGGGAGGAACACCGGUGGCGAAGGCGGCGACCUGGGUAGAUACUGACGCUGAGGUGCGAAAGCGUGGGGAGCAAACAGG